Molecule: ribosomal RNA, 472 nt
Filed under: uncultured bacterium
Lineage: Bacteria
Description: partial 16S ribosomal RNA
Rfam family: Bacterial small subunit ribosomal RNA
Source: RNAcentral
CCAGACUCCUACGGGAGGCAGCAGUGGGGAAUAUUGCACAAUGGGCGCAAGCCUGAUGCAGCCAUGCCGCGUGUAUGAAGAAGGCCUUCGGGUUGUAAAGUACUUUCAGCGGGGAGGAAGGGAGUAAAGUUAAUACCUUUGCUCAUUGACGUUACCCGCAGAAGAAGCACCGGCUAACUCCGUGCCAGCAGCCGCGGUAAUACGGAGGGUGCAAGCGUUAAUCGGAAUUACUGGGCGUAAAGCGCACGCAGGCGGUUUGUCAAGUCAAGGGUGAAAUCCCCGCGCUCAACGUGGGAACUGCCUUUGAAACUGGCAAACUGGAGUGUGUGAGAGGAUAGUGGAAUUCCAGGUGUAGGAGUGAAAUCCGUAGAUAUCUGGAGGAACAUCAGUGGCGAAGGCGACUAUCUGGCACAUAACUGACGCUGAGGAGCGAAAGCGUGGGUAGCAAACAGGAUUAGAUACCCCUGUAAAC